GUCCGCCUGCUCAAUGUAAUUAUAAAUAGCUGCAGUAUUACUGUACUAAGGUAGCAUAAUCAUUAGCUUCUUAAUUAGAAGAUAGAAUGAAAGGCGUAACGACAACAUAAUCUGUUUCUAAAAUAAUAGUAUAAAAUAAAAUACAAGUCAAAAUUCUCCUAUAAUAAAGAAGGACGACAAGACCCUGAAAAACUUAACAUUUUGCUGGGGCGGCAAAUUAAAAAUACCUUAAAUCUAACAUUAACACAAAUCUAAUAUAAUUAAUUCAGAUACAGUUACUUCAGGGAUAACAGCGCAACUAUUCUUAAAAGCUCUCAUAUAAAGAAAACACUGCGACCUCGAUGUUGAAUUAAUUUAACUAUUACACGCAAAAGUUUAUUAAGUAGGUCUGUUCGACCUUUAAACAAUU
This 409-nucleotide ribosomal RNA is filed under the name Psilochorus sp. JJA-2006. RNAcentral's name for it is "partial 16S ribosomal RNA". It matches the Rfam family "Archaeal large subunit ribosomal RNA", at positions 1948 to 2668 of the family's 2987-position model. The record is from RNAcentral. Lineage: Eukaryota; Metazoa; Arthropoda; Arachnida; Araneae; Pholcidae.